GACGAACGCUGGCGGCGUGCUUAACACAUGCAAGUCGAACGGAAAGGCCCCCUUGUGGGGUACUCGAGUGGCGAACGGGUGAGUAACACGUGAGUAAUCUACCCUUGACUUUGGGAUAACUUCAGGAAACUGGGGCUAAUACCGGAUAGGAGCUCCUGCUGCAUGGUGGGGGUUGGAAAGUUUCGGCGGUUGGGGAUGGACUCGCGGCUUAUCAGCUUGUUGGUGGGGUAGUGGCUCACCAAGGCUUUGACGGGUAGCCGGCCUGAGAGGGUGACCGGCCACAUUGGGACUGAGAUACGGCCCAGACUCCUACGGGAGGCAGCAGUGGGGAAUAUUGCACAAUGGGCGGAAGCCUGAUGCAGCAACGCCGCGUGCGGGAUGACGGCCUUCGGGUUGUAAACCGCUUUCGCCUGUGACGAAGCGUGAGUGACGGUAAUGGGUAAAGAAGCACCGGCUAACUACGUG
This 465-nucleotide ribosomal RNA is filed under the name uncultured bacterium. RNAcentral describes it as "partial 16S ribosomal RNA". It matches the Rfam family "Bacterial small subunit ribosomal RNA", at positions 28 to 507 of the family's 1533-position model. The record is from RNAcentral.